CUUUAGUGCCAGCGCGCCGGGAUCGGGAAGCGGCGCCGAAGAAGGAAGAGGCGCCGCCGCAUUCCUUCUUACCAGGUGAGCGGCGCGAGGGUUUAUAUAGUAUCGAUGAAACGAGGUACUUUGAUUGAUGUCUCGGACAGGCUGAUUUUUUUCGGGUCUUCUUGGUUGCUGGGAAUGAGGACUUAUGCAAGAAGCACAAACACCUGGACUUUUCCUCCAGUGUGAUCAUGAUGUUGGGAUGAAAAGAAACACCACAAAGAGAAACAAACCUUGCUGGCAAAGGUGAGCGAGCUCUGUGAGUACUUUGCGUCGACACCAAGCCAUGGAAAGCUUGUGAUAUUUGGAUCGUUCCUCAACUUUCCUGGAUACCACUAGGCACUCUUUUCUGUAUUUGCGCAGACGUGCUUUGGAUUGACACUCGACAAUUCUUCCUACUGCAGACUUUUGACAAAGAAAUCGGCUCACAACAUUCCACCUCUCGA
Molecule: long non-coding RNA, 482 nt
Organism: Selaginella moellendorffii
Lineage: Eukaryota; Viridiplantae; Streptophyta; Lycopodiopsida; Selaginellales; Selaginellaceae
Exons: 3
Source: RefSeq, a predicted model, not a curated record